CUGAGGCAGGAGAAUCGCUAAUAAAAAUACAAAAAAUUAGCUGGGCAUGGUGAUGCGCCUGCAAACCCAGCUGCUCAGGAGGCUGAGUCAGGGGAAUCAUUUGAACCUGGGAGGUGGAGGCUGCAGUGAGCCGAGAUCACGCCGCUGCACUCCAGUCUGGGCAACAGAACAAGACUCCGUUUAAAAAAAGAAAGAAAGAAAAUCCUUUCUCUUGGCUCACACCUGACUCCACUUGGCUCCACACCUGAGCUGACCUGCGUUUCCUCCUUCAAAAUUCCCUAAAAAACUUCUCUCUCAGUGUGGGUCCUGCUUCCUCCUUUCUUUCUCUUGCUCAUUCUCUCCUCCCCCAUAGGAAAAGCUCCAGAAACUCCCCUAGCAAGGCUGGAUCUCUCCAAGCUUCAGAAAGAGGAAGACAACUGAACAGGCAGGGCUCGCAUCUUCUUUAGAGGCGGUGGAGUUGGGGGACAGCUGGUAACAGGAUAGAUAGCAACAACCACCUUGAAGAUAAUGCACGAAGUGUCGGCACUGCACAGUACAUGAAUGAUCUCACUUAACUCCCGUGCAAACCCUAUGCCAUGGCUGCUAUUAUCAUUCACGUUUACAGGAUGAGGAAACUAAUGCUCAUGCAGGGUGAAAGCCUCCCUUCCCUACAUCAU
Molecule: long non-coding RNA, 656 nt
Filed under: Homo sapiens (human)
Lineage: Eukaryota; Metazoa; Chordata; Mammalia; Primates; Hominidae
Description: HSALNT0029485
Source: RNAcentral